This is a non-coding RNA of Pelobates cultripes (western spadefoot toad), 758 nucleotides long. NCBI's taxonomy places the organism in Eukaryota, Metazoa, Chordata, Amphibia, Anura, Pelobatidae. The record is from the annotation of a GenBank genome assembly.
CAGGUCGCUUGAUGUCGACGGUGGGGCUCUGGCCGGUUUGGGGAUUCUAAAAAGUCCGUCCAGGGGUGUUGCUUUCGCCUGUUUUUGUGGUAGGAGAUCCCCCAUCAUUCUCCGCACCAGGUGUGGCAGCUCCGCUUCAGGGACAGCAUCAGGUACCCCCCGGAGCUUCAAAUUAUUCCUCCGCCGUAGGUCUUCUAGAUUUGCAAAGCGGCAUUCGUGGGUCUGGUUCUGCCGCUGGAGGUCUUACACCGCUUUCUCCAGCACCUGUAUACGCUGAGAGUCCUGGUGAGUGGUGGUUUCCAGCCUGUCAAUUCGGCCUGUCAGUCCCUGCAGCCCUCCCCUGAUUGUGGCAAUGUCAGCCUGCAGGGUGGUCUGUAGGUCAGCAAGGAGACCCUUGAGCGCCGAUAGUGUGACCGGGGAUGUGUCCGGUUUUGUCGGUGGGGGUUUAGCCGGCGUGAGUUCAGGCGUCUCUUCCUCUUCGGAGGCCAGGUCGUCCGAAAAAUCGAAGCAACCGCCCGACAGGUCGGCCAUCUUGGGCCCGGCCGCGCCAUGUGCUAGGCGCCACAUUUCUCCGAUAUUCAUCCCAAGGUGGGGUUGAUCCUGCUUGGGUUUUUUGGUUUUGCGUCCCAUAGUCGUUAGGUGUGUGGGUCCGACGUCCGGGGGCUCGUUAUGGCCGGGGGUGACCCUGAAAAUUGCGAUUUUGUCCGCUUUUGGAUCGGAGCUGCAGUGUCGUGCGACUUCUCUCUCUGGUGGCUAGG